Molecule: long non-coding RNA, 328 nt
Organism: Hyla sarda
Lineage: Eukaryota; Metazoa; Chordata; Amphibia; Anura; Hylidae
Exons: 3
Source: RefSeq, a predicted model, not a curated record
ACAGAGAAGUGCUAGUCCCACCCUCACUUACUGGACUUUUUCUCUGUGAUUCAGCUUCGACAAAUAUAAUGCUGUAGCUGGACAGGAAUAUGUUCUGGAUGACUAAAGUUUAUAAAUUCUGUGUGGAAUCAGCAUCAAGUAGAGAAUGGCAACUUGGAUUUCCAAAUGAAACCAAUGGGAAAUGGAUUUGAUGCAGAUUUCAGAGAAAACCACAAGAUGAAAAACUAUCCUCAGGCUAUCAAGUGUAGUGGGGAUGAUGGGAGUUGUAAUUCCUGAAUUCCAGUACAGUGGUUGCAGCAGGACCGUCAGGGAGUCUAUUGCCAUCCUG